This 1444-nucleotide ribosomal RNA is filed under the name metagenome. RNAcentral's name for it is "bacterial SSU rRNA". It matches the Rfam family "Bacterial small subunit ribosomal RNA". The record is from RNAcentral.
AGAGUUUGAUCCUGGCUCAGGAUGAACGCUGGCGGCGUGCUUAACACAUGCAAGCCGAACGAACCUUCGGGUUAGUGGCGGACGGGUGAGUAACGCGUGAGAAUCUGCCCUCAGGAGGGGGAUAACGGCUGGAAACGGCCGCUAAUACCCCAUAUGCCGAGAGGUGAAAUGAAUUUCGCCUGAGGAUGAGCUCGCGUCUGAUUAGCUUGUUGGUGUGGUAAAGGCUCACCAAGGCAUCGAUCAGUAGCUGGUCUGAGAGGAUGAUCAGCCACACUGGGACUGAGACACGGCCCAGACUCCUACGGGAGGCAGCAGUGGGGAAUUUUCCGCAAUGGGCGCAAGCCUGACGGAGCAACGCCGCGUGAGGGAUGAAGGCCUCUGGGCUGUAAACCUCUUUUAUCAAGGAAGAAGAUCUGACGGUACUUGAUGAAUAAGCCACGGCUAAUUCCGUGCCAGCAGCCGCGGUAAUACGGGAGUGGCAAGCGUUAUCCGGAAUUAUUGGGCGUAAAGCGUCCGCAGGCGGUCUUGAAAGUCUGUUGUUAAAGCGUGGAGCUCAACUCCAUUUCAGCAAUGGAAACUAGAAGACUAGAGUGUGGUAGGGGCAGAGGGAAUUCCCGGUGUAGCGGUGAAAUGCGUAGAUAUCGGGAAGAACACCUGUGGCGAAGGCGCUCUGCUGGGCCAUAACUGACGCUCAUGGACGAAGGCCAGGGGAGCGAAAGGGAUUAGAUACCCCUGUAGUCCUGGCCGUAAACGAUGAACACUAGGUGUCGGGGGAAUCGACCCCCUCGGUGUCGUAGCCAACGCGUUAAGUGUUCCGCCUGGGGAGUACGCACGCAAGUGUGAAACUCAAAGGAAUUGACGGGGGCCCGCACAAGCGGUGGAGUAUGUGGUUUAAUUCGAUGCAACGCGAAGAACCUUACCAGGGUUUGACAUCCUGCGAAUCCCUUGGAAACUUGGGAGUGCCUUCGGGAGCGCAGUGACAGGUGGUGCAUGGCUGUCGUCAGCUCGUGUCGUGAGAUGUUGGGUUAAGUCCCGCAACGAGCGCAACCCACGUCUUUAGUUGCCAGCAUUAAGUUGGGCACUCUAGAGAGACUGCCGGUGAUAAACCGGAGGAAGGUGUGGAUGACGUCAAGUCAUCAUGCCCCUUACAUCCUGGGCUACACACGUACUACAAUGCUACGGACAAAGGGCAGCAAACUCGCGAGAGCUAGCAAAUCCCAUAAACCGUGGCUCAGUUCAGAUCGUAGGCUGCAACUCGCCUACGUGAAGGAGGAAUCGCUAGUAAUCGCAGGUCAGCAUACUGCGGUGAAUACGUUCCCGGGCCUUGUACACACCGCCCGUCACACCAUGGAAGUUGGCCACGCCCGAAGUCGUUACUCCAACCCGCAAGGGAGGAAGAUGCCGAAGGUGGGGCUGAUGACUGGGGUGAAGUCGUAACAAGGUA